RNAcentral lists this ribosomal RNA (449 nucleotides) under uncultured bacterium. RNAcentral describes it as "partial 16S ribosomal RNA". It matches the Rfam family "Bacterial small subunit ribosomal RNA", at positions 29 to 523 of the family's 1533-position model. The record is from RNAcentral.
AAUGAACGCUGGCGGCAGGCCUAACACAUGCAAGUCGAACGCUGCAGCAAUGCAGAGUGGCAGACGGGUGAGUAACGCGUGGGAACCUUCCCAAAGGUACGGAAUAGCCCAGGGAAACUUGGGGUAAUACCGUAUAAGCCCCAUGGGGGAAAGAUUGAUCGCCGUUGGAUGGGCACGCGUCGGAUUAGCUAGUUGGUGAGGUAACGGCUCACCAAGGCGACGAUCCGUAGCUGGGUGGAGAGAAUGACCAGCAAAUCUGGGACUGGGACGCGGCCCAGACUCCUACGGGAGGCAGCAGUGGGGAAUCUUGGACAAUGGGCGAAAGGCUGAUCCAGCCAUGCCGCGUGAGUGACGAAGGCCUUAGGGUUGUAAAGCUCUUUUGGCGGGGACGAUAAUGACGGUACCCGAAGAAUAAGUCCCGGCUAACUUCGUGCCAGCAGCCGCCGUAA